This 928-nucleotide ribosomal RNA is filed under the name Torulaspora delbrueckii. Its description in RNAcentral is "eukaryotic LSU rRNA". The stretch from base 1 to 614 matches the Rfam family "Eukaryotic large subunit ribosomal RNA", at positions 38 to 664 of the family's 3401-position model. Lineage: Eukaryota; Fungi; Ascomycota; Saccharomycetes; Saccharomycetales; Saccharomycetaceae. The record is from RNAcentral.
GCAUAUCAAUAAGCCGGAGGAAAAGAAACCAACCGGGAUUGCCUUAGUAACGGCGAGUGAAGCGGCAAAAGCUCAAAUUUGAAAUCUGGUACCUUCGGUGCCCGAGUUGUAAUUUGUAGAAGGUAACUUUGGGGCUGGUCCUUGUCUAUGUUCCUUGGAACAGGACGUCAUAGAGGGUGAGAAUCCCGUGUGGCGAGGAUCCCAGUUCUUUGUAAAGUGCUUUCGAAGAGUCGAGUUGUUUGGGAAUGCAGCUCUAAGUGGGUGGUAAAUUCCAUCUAAAGCUAAAUAUUGGCGAGAGACCGAUAGCGAACAAGUACAGUGAUGGAAAGAUGAAAAGAACUUUGAAAAGAGAGUGAAAAAGUACGUGAAAUUGUUGAAAGGGAAGGGCAUUUGAUCAGACAUGGUGUUUUGCGCCCUCUGCUCCUUGUGGGUGGGGGAAUCUCGCAGCUCACUGGGCCAGCAUCAGUUUUGGCGGCAGGAUAAAUCUGCAGGAAUGUAGCUUGCCUCGGUAAGUGUUAUAUCCUGUAGAAAUACUGCCAGCUGGGACUGAGGACUGCGACUUUACGUCAAGGAUGCUGGCAUAAUGGUUAUAUGCCGCCCGUCUUGAAACACGAACCAAUCACUAGUGAAUUCGCGGCCGCCUGCAGGUCGACCAUAUGGGAGAGCUCCCAACGCGUUGGAUGCAUAGCUUGAGUAUUCUAUAGUGUCACCUAAAUAGCUUGGCGUAAUCAUGGUCAUAGCUGUUUCCUGUGUGAAAUUGUUAUCCGCUCACAAUUCCACACAACAUACGAGCCGGAAGCAUAAAGUGUAAAGCCUGGGGUGCCUAAUGAGUGAGCUAACUCACAUUAAUUGCGUUGCGCUCACUGCCCGCUUUCCAGUCGGGAAACCUGUCGUGCCAGCUGCAUUAAUGAAUCGGCCAACGCGCGGG